This is a long non-coding RNA of Ictalurus punctatus (channel catfish), 323 nucleotides long. RefSeq lists it as uncharacterized. The record is from RefSeq and is a predicted model, not a curated record. NCBI's taxonomy places the organism in Eukaryota, Metazoa, Chordata, Actinopteri, Siluriformes, Ictaluridae. The transcript has 3 exons.
ACGGCCAUUCGAAUCGGAAUUCCAAGUCGGGAACUCGGGAAACAUCCUCUUUGCCAGAGUUCUCUGACAUAAACACCCCUGACAUCUCGACAGUAUGGCGGUGCACUCGGUCAGAGGUUGAUUCAUGCUGCUGCCUUGUGUGUGCGGAGUUUGUAUGUUCUCCCCGUGCUGCGAGGGUUUCCUCCGGGUACUCCGGUUUCCUCCACCAGUCCAAAGACACGCACGGCGAGCUCAGGUUAAUCAGGUCUCCAGAUGUCGAGUCAGCAACACCAGUGCGCCAAUCGAGAACGUGUACGAGAAGAAAUUGUUCUCAGAAAAUCACA